GACGAACGCUGGCGGCGUGCUUAACACAUGCAAGUCGAACGGAAAGGCCCCUUUGGGGGUACUCGAGUGGCGAACGGGUGAGUAACACGUGAGUAACCUGCCCUUGACUUCGGGAUAACUUCAGGAAACUGGGGCUAAUACCGGAUAGGAAUCCUUGCUGCAUGGUGGGGGUUGGAAAGCUUCGGCGGUUUUGGAUGGACUCGCGGCUUAUCAGCUUGUUGGUGGGGUAGUGGCUUACCAAGGCUUUGACGGGUAGCCGGCCUGAGAGGGCGACCGGCCACAUUGGGACUGAGAUACGACCCAGACUCCUACGGGAGGCAGCAGUGGGGAAGAUUGCACAAUGGGCGGAAGCCUGAUGCAGCAACGCCGCGGGCGGGAUGACGGCCUUCGGGUUGUAAACCGCUUUCAGCAGGGGCGAAGCUUGUGGUGACGGUACCUGCAGAAGAAGCACCGGCUAACUACGUG
RNAcentral lists this ribosomal RNA (465 nucleotides) under uncultured bacterium. Its description in RNAcentral is "partial 16S ribosomal RNA". It matches the Rfam family "Bacterial small subunit ribosomal RNA", at positions 28 to 507 of the family's 1533-position model. The record is from RNAcentral.